RNAcentral lists this long non-coding RNA (1527 nucleotides) under Brachypodium distachyon (stiff brome). Its description in RNAcentral is "long non-coding RNA (BDIS_LNC001505)". The record is from RNAcentral. Lineage: Eukaryota; Viridiplantae; Streptophyta; Magnoliopsida; Poales; Poaceae.
CGGUGAGGAUUGCUCUUCUGUUGCCUUGGAACAAUCUCUGAUCUUUACUGUGCUAGCAACGACAAAAGUAAAGAACUGAACUUUGCUGGAUUUUCAUGUGUCACUUCCAAGUCUAAGUAUGUGUCGAUUUUAUGCAGGUACUUGAUGCCCGUGGCCCGAGAGAACCAUGGCAUGAUUUGCAUUCCAAGAUUGAUGGUCCAGCAGCUUUUGAUGUCCUGAAAAACUUUGAGGAGCGCUGGUUAAAGGCGUCCAAACGCAGCGGAGCUAAGAAGUUAUCAAAAGCAUGUAAUGAUACAUUGCUCUGGAUCGAGAGGAUACCUGAGAUUGUAGCUAUUGACGAUGAAAUCUAUGCAAGUGACAGAGAUCCAGAAAGAUGGGAUGUUCAGGUAUGAUUGCUAGUAGUCUAUUGCCAUAGACUCCUUUUGAGCGAUUGAAUUUUUUUUACCUUUUGAGUGCAGAUCUUCCGAUCUAUUGAUUCAAACUCUGUCAAAGCUUUUCCAAAAGAUCCACGAGAAGCAACCAGUAAGGUAACCGAAAUACAGUUUUCACAGCACCAUAUUAUGUUCACAACUUGAUAUCAUCUUUACCUGAGAUAAGCCUUUUGUUCAUGCUGGCAGAAUCUUGUUUGCGGGAAAAAUGUACUAAUCGAUACGAGCAUACAUACAGCUUACGUUACUGCCAUCCGAGCAGCCCAACACUUCAUAUAUAUUGAAAAUCAGUAUUUCCUUGGUUCUUCCUUUAACUGGGAUUCACACACAGAUGUUGGUAAGCAUAGAAUUAAUACCACAGUGUUCUUUUCAUCUUAUCGCUUCCCAGCUGUCUGAAUAUUUUCCUGGCCCCUUCAUAUUUUUCCUACAUCAUGCCAGCAAGAAAUAUGCCCAAUUUCUUCAUAAACCAUGACUCUGAUAUUGUUUUUUUUGCAGGUGCAAAUAAUUUAAUACCAAUUGAAAUAGCCCUCAAAAUUGCUAACAAGAUUUAUGCAAACGAGAGAUUUUCGGCGUAUAUAAUAAUUCCAAUGUGGCCUGAGGGCAACCCUACUGGUGCUCCUACACAGAGAAUUCUGUAUUGGCAGGUUAGGUUCUUCAUCUCUCUGAGUGCCUCUAAUCUUCUUUAUUUACUAUACUUCCCUCUAAGUGUAGCAACUUCCAAUGGUGUAAUCCAAUUCAUAUGUCUCGUUUUGUUCAUUGUAGAAAAAAACAAUGCAAAUGAUGUAUGAGAUAAUCUAUGGGGCUCUGAAAGAAGUAGGCCUGGAUGGUAAAUAUGAGCCACAGGAUUACCUCAACUUCUUCUGCCUCGGCAACCGCGAAGCCGAGGAAACUCCUGGCACAUCCAGCGGACCAUUUUCAGCCAGCAAUCCUCAGGCAAGACUGCAAUCCAUGGCACAAUCAAUCAUGUUUCAUCCUGCAGCAAGCUGCUGGUCUUAAUUUCUGAAAAAAAAUACGCUCAACUCAUACUUGAUUUUUGUUUCAACACAUGUGGCUUUCAGGAUCAAUCGAGGAAGAACAGGAGAUUCAUGGUGUACGUGCA